Molecule: ribosomal RNA, 424 nt
Filed under: uncultured bacterium
Lineage: Bacteria
Description: partial 16S ribosomal RNA
Rfam family: Bacterial small subunit ribosomal RNA
Source: RNAcentral
AAUAUUGGACAAUGGGCGAAAGCCUGAUCCAGCCAUGACGCGUGUGUGAAGAAGGUCCUCGGAUUGUAAAGCACUUAAUGUUGGGUGGAAGGGCAGUAACUCAAUACCUUGCUGUUUUGACGUUACAGACUGAAUAAGCACCGGCUACCUGCGUGCCAGCAGCCGCGGUAAUACGAAGGGUGCAAGCGUUAAUCGGAAUUACUGGGCGUAAAGGGCGCGUAGGUGGUUUGUUAAGUUGGAAGUGAAAGCCCAGUGCUUAACCCGGGAAUUGCUUUCAAUACUGAAGAGCUAGAGUACGGUAGAGGGUAGUGGAAUUUCCUGUGUAGCGGUGAAAUGCGUAGAUAUAGGAAGGAACAUCAGUGGCGAAGGCGACUACCUGGACUGAUACUGACACUGAGGUGCGAAAGCGUGGGGAGCAAACAGG